Mirounga angustirostris (Northern elephant seal) is the source of this 426-nucleotide long non-coding RNA. RefSeq lists it as uncharacterized. The record is from RefSeq and is a predicted model, not a curated record. Lineage: Eukaryota; Metazoa; Chordata; Mammalia; Carnivora; Phocidae. The transcript is spliced from 3 exons.
AGAUUUCUCUUGUACAAUUUCUCCUUGAAAAUUGCCUCAGGAUAUUUGGAGAAGACAUCACUUCCUUCUUGGGAGAGAAGUCAAUGAGUUGUGACUCCGGCCAGAAAACUGUGAAAAGCUGUUCAUUCAGAGACAGGGCCUUUUGGUGGGGCUCCAGCACUUGCCAGCAAAACCAGUGCACAACCCCACAUUCUGCAAAGCCAGGAGAGCUCUUUGGAGUUUGCCUCAUGGUUGUGUGUUAUAAAGACAACCUGGCCUUCCCAAUUCUGGGUAUGCUUUCCUUUAUUCAUAAAAAAGGGCCUCUCACAAAAGGCAUCUUCAGAAAAUCAGCCAAUAUAAAAUCCUGCCAUGUGCUAAAGGAGAAACUAAAUUCUGGCGUCAAAGUGAACCCGUACAGCCAAUCUGUUCAUGUGGUCGCAUCCGUCU